RNAcentral lists this ribosomal RNA (837 nucleotides) under archaeon JDS-1. RNAcentral's name for it is "partial 16S ribosomal RNA". Lineage: Archaea; Methanobacteriati; Methanobacteriota; Halobacteria; Halobacteriales. The record is from RNAcentral.
UUAAGUUUCAUCCUUGCGGACGUACUUCCCAGGCGGUUCGCUUCUCGGCUUCCCUACGACACAGCACAGGCACGUAGCCUGUGCCACAUCUAGCGAACAUCGUUUACGGCUAGGACUACCCGGGUAUCUAAUCCGGUUCGAGACCCUAGCUUUCGUCCCUCACUGUCGGAUCCGUCGUCUUGAGGUGCUUUCGCCAUCGGCGGUCCGUCCAGGAUUACAGGAUUUCACUCCUACCCCAGACGUACCCCUCAAGUCUUCCGGUCCCAAGCCCUGUAGUUUCCGCCGGACGCCCACUCGUUAGGCGAGUGGAUUUCCCGACGGACUUGCAGGGCCAGCUACGGACGCUUUAGGCCCAAUAAAAUCGGCCAUCACUCGAGCUGCCGGUAUUACCGCGGCGGCUGGCACCGGUCUUGCCCAGCUCUUGGUCGUGUACCACCCUACGGUACACAAUAGCGAGGACUGUAUGCCCUCGCACUCGGAGUCCCCUUAUCGCACCUUCGUGCAGUGUAAAGGUUUCGCGCCUGCUGCGCCCCGUAGGGCCCGGAAUCUUGUCUCAGAUUCCGUCUCCGGGCUCGUGCUCUCACACCCCGUACCAAUUAUCGGCUCGGUGGGCCGUUACCCCACCGACUACCUAAUCGGCCGCAGCCGCAUCCUGCAGCGCCGGAGCGUUUGUCGGUCUCGGCAUUCCAGCGUGAGACCGGUAUGGGGGAUUCCCGUCAGUUUCCCGACGCUGUCCCCCUCUGCAGGGUAGCUUGGCCACGUGUUACUGAGCUGUUCGCCGCGAGGGCUAACCUCGCUCGACUAGCAUGGCUAAAUCGGACUCCGAUAGCAAUGGCC